Non-coding RNA from Phrynosoma platyrhinos (Desert horned lizard), 74 nucleotides. NCBI's taxonomy places the organism in Eukaryota, Metazoa, Chordata, Lepidosauria, Squamata, Phrynosomatidae. The record is from the annotation of a GenBank genome assembly.
GCCAAUGUGGUGCAGUGGUUUGAGUGCUGGACUAUGAUUCUGGAGACUCCAGGGUUGGAAUCCUGGCCUGGCCA